UGUGCCAGUUCCUAUCAGCAAUGAGAAACUUCACGUCCUGGACCUGGUGCUUGCUUCACAGGUCCCGGGCACACCCGUCUUAGCAGCAGGCAGCAAGGUUUCUGCUUUACCAGCUCCUGGACAACUUGGCAAUCUGCAGGUGGGACUGGCCACGGUAAGAAACAGGAAGAGGAGAAUUAACAACAGGGAUCCUCAGCCUGUCACAUAACAACUGAAUAAGAAAAUGACACAGAAAUGGGUCCCUGUAGGCAGCAGGUGCUUCCUCGGGUGCUGCUACCCUCUUUGCAGAGGAAGCACACAAACAGCGAGCAGCAGAUCUGCACUGGGGACACCUGUGUGGUGUGUGCUCUGGAAGUGACAACAGGAUCCAAAUCACCUGCAUGAGGAUCCAACCCACCUGCCACGUCCUGGCAGCUGUGCUCUCCUUCAUUCCAGGCAAACACGCAAGCCUGAGAUGUUGUCUGAAGCCUUGGACUUCAUUUAACAAGUUGGAGUUGAGUUAGCACCUUCGAGCCUCUGGGGCUGUGUCUUGCAUCAGAAAGAACACAGCUCGUUAUCAUUCCUGAACUCUGCUCCUCUCAGCCGCUGCGCUAGGUGAUGCGAGGUGACACGUGGAGGAAAACAGGAUCUCUUCCAGAAUAUGUGAAAAGGCCAUGUGCUUUUCUUUCGCAUUCAAGGUAUUUCAAGCAGAACAUGGUAAACUCUCUUUGCAAUCUUGGACUCCUUACCAGCUGGGUAUGCAAAUACCCCAUUCUCACCUACUUUCUGCUGGACAUGGUUUGCGUAGCUCCAAGUACUCCUUAAGAUUAAGAUGAAACAGAGAUCUGGAAGUCAAGAAUCUCUCCUGCUGCAGAUUUCAUACCUACCCCCAUCAGAGCGAUCUGUUACUCAGAGAGGUAGAUGGUCCUGUGGGAAGUAUACGAUCACAUCAUUAAAGGCUUCAGAAUUAAUAAUCAGAAGCAGGACAGAAGGGAUAUCAGUCAAACAGAAGUUGCACACUCAGGCUUAAUGUUAGUUCUUCCUCAAUUCCCCAGUCACACUAUUCUUACUAGAUUUUGAUAUAAAUGCUGCAACUAGAAAUGGAAUGACAAAUACACCCAGCAGAACUGAUAUCAAUUCACUGCAAAAUAUAUUAGUUGUGGCCAAUAAAGUCAGAUUAUUUUACUGGAUUUACUCUGGAUUUACCCUAGUGUAACCCAGAACAGAAUGUGGUCCUGUGGGUGUAGGAGAAGUUACACUGUAAAGAAAUAAAUCUCAACUAUUUCAAGUUUUAUUAGCUUCUUUUUCUGUCGGGCCUUUCAAUUUUUAUAUUUUUCAUAU
This is a long non-coding RNA of Anas platyrhynchos (mallard), 1320 nucleotides long. RefSeq lists it as uncharacterized. NCBI's taxonomy places the organism in Eukaryota, Metazoa, Chordata, Aves, Anseriformes, Anatidae. The record is from RefSeq and is a predicted model, not a curated record.